GCCCUGCAGCUCUCCCCUUAGUGCGGUGACAUCCGCAAGGAUGUUUUUUUGUAGGUCGGCUAGCAGGGUCUUUAACACCCCAGUGGUUACCAGGUCGGCAUCUGGGUCCUUCCUUGGUUUGCUGGGUUUUGCCCUGGGCUUUGGGUCUGGGGUUAGGAGGCAUUCAUCUUCAGCUCCCUCUGAGUAGUCAUCUGAGAAAUCCGAG
Pelobates cultripes (western spadefoot toad) is the source of this 205-nucleotide non-coding RNA. The record is from the annotation of a GenBank genome assembly. Lineage: Eukaryota; Metazoa; Chordata; Amphibia; Anura; Pelobatidae.